GGGAUAAUUGCACUCCUGAUCUUACUCCCGGGUUAUAUCCUAUUUACCUGUCCCCUUCCAGAUUUUCUUUGAUUUUAUUUCACGGAAGAAGUAGAAGAAUGUUUAAUUAUCCUUUUCCAACAGGUAUUGCUUCAUAGCAAAUCAGGAAAAGUCGGCAAAUCAAAAAGCAUUUAAUUUCCACCAGCGUUUCUUCACGUUCUCAGACGCUUUUCCGGUGUGGACUCAGGGAAUCGCCCAAGUCUCCCUGCAGACCAAUGCUCAACCUCGUGCAACACGAAGUUUCGAGUUUCCCGUGCUCACCUCAAAGGGUGUGAACACACCAGAGAGACUUCAAGAGGCGGUUCCUAUGGGUCACAGCUGGAUCAGCCUCCCUUGGAGUCUGUUCUCAUCAGAUGCAUGGUCACACUGAGUAAUGUCAUCCAGGUAGGCUCAGAAUGAAGGGAAAUCUGUUAGAAAAGUACUUACCAAAUGGUCUCUGUU
This 480-nucleotide long non-coding RNA is filed under the name Mus spicilegus (steppe mouse). RNAcentral describes it as "lncRNA (ENSMSIG00000005892.1)". Lineage: Eukaryota; Metazoa; Chordata; Mammalia; Rodentia; Muridae. The record is from RNAcentral.